AUUGAACGCUGGCGGCGGGCUUAACACAUGCAAGUCGAACGAGUGGCGGACGGGUGAGUAAUGCUUGGGAAACUGGCUUAUGGAGGGGGAUCACUACUGGAAACUGUAGCUAAUACCGCCUACCAUAGUAUUAGCCCAUGUGGGAUUAGGUAGUUUGUGUGGUAAAGGCUACCUUAGCCGACGAUCUCUAGCUGGUCUGAGAGGAUGACGAGCCAACCUGGGACUGACACACGGCCCAAACUCCUACGGGAGGAAGCAGUGGGGAAUAUUGCGAAUGGGGGGAAACCGGACGCAGCCAUGCCGCGUGAUGGAAGAAGGCCUUCGGGUUGGAAAGUUCUUUCGGUAGGGAGGCGGUAACUACAGAAGAAGCACCGGCUAACUCCGUGCCAGCAGCCGCGGUAAUAC
Molecule: ribosomal RNA, 405 nt
Filed under: uncultured bacterium
Lineage: Bacteria
Description: partial 16S ribosomal RNA
Rfam family: Bacterial small subunit ribosomal RNA
Source: RNAcentral